Streptomyces sp. AA4 is the source of this 149-nucleotide non-coding RNA. The record is from Rfam. NCBI's taxonomy places the organism in Bacteria, Bacillati, Actinomycetota, Actinomycetes, Kitasatosporales, Streptomycetaceae.
GCUUCCGGCGGAGCCUGCGGUGCGUUAACGUCGACAAGUUCUUCGCCACGAACGGGGGAAGCCGGUGAGAAUCCGGCGCUGGCCCGCAACCGUGAGCGGCCCCGGGUGGGACCGCGAGCCGGAUCGCCCGUCGUGGUCCGAUCGAUGCG